CAGCCGCCGCGGGAACACGUAGGUGGCGAGCGUUGUCCGGAUUUAUUGGGCGUAAAGCGAGCGCAGGCGGUCAAUUAAGUCUGAUGUGAAAGCCCCCGGCUCAACCGGGGAGGGUCAUUGGAGACUGGUUGACUUGAGUGCAGAAGAGGAGAGUGGAAUUCCACGUGCAGCGGUGAAAUGCGUAGAGAUGUGGAGGAACACCAGUGGCGAAGGCGACUCUCUGGUCUGUAGCUGACGCUGAGGAGCGAAAGCGUGGGGAGCGAACAGGAUUAGAUACCCGCGUAGUCCCUGUCUCUUAUAC
This 301-nucleotide ribosomal RNA is filed under the name uncultured bacterium. RNAcentral's name for it is "partial 16S ribosomal RNA". It matches the Rfam family "Bacterial small subunit ribosomal RNA", at positions 509 to 807 of the family's 1533-position model. The record is from RNAcentral.